RNAcentral lists this transfer RNA (72 nucleotides) under Nippostrongylus brasiliensis. It matches the Rfam family "tRNA". From Rfam's summary of the family: Transfer RNA (tRNA) molecules are approximately 80 nucleotides in length. Their secondary structure includes four short double-helical elements and three loops (D, anti-codon, and T loops). The record is from Rfam by way of RNAcentral. Lineage: Eukaryota; Metazoa; Nematoda; Chromadorea; Rhabditida; Heligmosomidae.
ACAUCGGUAGCACAGUGGUCAGUGCAGUCUGCCGGAAAUAGAAAGACGCGAGUUCAAUUCCCGUUCGAUGGC